CCUACGGGAGGCAGCAGUAAGGAAUAUUGGUCAAUGGACGAAAGUCUGAACCAGCCAUGCCGCGUGAAGGAUGAAGGCCCUCUGGGUUGUAAACUUCUUUUAUAGGGGACGAAAAAAGGGCAUUCUUGCUCACUUGACGGUACCCUAGGAAUAAGCACCGGCUAACUCCGUGCCAGCAGCCGCGGUAAUACGGAGGGUGCAAGCGUUAUCCGGAUUUACUGGGUUUAAAGGGUGCGUAGGUGGGUUGGUAAGUCAGCGGUGAAAUCUUCGAGCUUAACUCGGAAACUGCCAUUGAUACUAUCAAUCUUGAAUCAUCUAGAGGUAAGCGGAAUAUGUCAUGUAGCGGUGAAAUGCUUAGAUAUGACAUAGAACACCAAUUGCGAAGGCAGCUUACUAUGGAUGUAUUGACACUGAGGCACGAAAGCGUGGGGAUCAAACAGGAUUAGAUACCCUGGUAGUCCACGCCCUAAACUAUGGAUACUCGACAUUUGCGAUAUACUGUAAGUGUNUGAGCGAAGACAUAAGUAAUACCACCUACGGAAGGUACGAGUCGCGAAGAGUUAGUAAACGUUAAAGUUAAGUAAGUUAGUACGGACGUAGAGACGUAGACCGACGGACGACGACGAGGGGAGGAGGGNG
Molecule: ribosomal RNA, 639 nt
Filed under: uncultured bacterium
Lineage: Bacteria
Description: bacterial SSU rRNA
Rfam family: Bacterial small subunit ribosomal RNA (bases 1-535)
Source: RNAcentral